UAUUAGAAAGAAUACCAAUUGCGAAGGCAGCUUUCUGGAUCAUUACUGACACUGAGGAACGAAAGCAUGGGUAGCGAAGAGGAUUAGAUACCCUCGUAGUCCAUGCCGUAAACGAUGUGUGUUAGACGUUGGAAAUUUAUUUUCAGUGUCGCAGCGAAAGCGAUAAACACACCGCCUGGGGAGUACGACCGCAAGGUUAAAACUCAAAUGAAUUGACGGGGACCCGCACAAGUAGUGGAGCAUGUGGUUUAAUUCGAAGAUACGCGCAGAACCUUACCAACACUUGACAUGUUCGUCGCGACUUUAAGAGAUUAAAGUUUUCGGUUCGGCCGGACGAAACACAGGUGCUGCAUGGCUGUCGUCAGCUCGUGUCGUGAGAUGUUGGGUUAAGUCCCGCAACGAGCGCAACCCUCACUUUUAGUUGCCAUCAUUAAGUUGGGCACUCUGAAAGAACUGCCAGUGAUAAGCUGGAGGAAGGUGGGGAUGACGUCAAGUCCUCAAGGCCCUUACGUGUUGGGCUACACACGUGCUACAAUGGUAUCUACAACAGGAAGCAAGACGGCGACGUCAAGCAAAUCCUUAAAAGAUACCUCAGUUCGGAUUGCACUCUGCAACUCGAGUGCAUGAAGCUGGAAUUACUAGUAAUCGUGGAUCAGCGUGCCACGGUGAAUGCGUUCCCGGGCCUUGUACACACCGCCCA
This 700-nucleotide ribosomal RNA is filed under the name uncultured bacterium. Its description in RNAcentral is "bacterial SSU rRNA". It matches the Rfam family "Bacterial small subunit ribosomal RNA", at positions 695 to 1396 of the family's 1533-position model. The record is from RNAcentral.